RNA transcript from Prunus persica (peach), 4923 nucleotides. RefSeq lists it as uncharacterized. The transcript is spliced from 17 exons. The record is from RefSeq and is a predicted model, not a curated record. NCBI's taxonomy places the organism in Eukaryota, Viridiplantae, Streptophyta, Magnoliopsida, Rosales, Rosaceae.
GCUCAUAAAUAAGCUAGCUACUGCUUGCAAGUUGCAGAUCAUAAUGUCUAUAAAACUGAAUCCCUAUUUCUGCAGCUUUGGUUUUUCAAGUGGAGUUGCUGCGGAACUCUUGUUAGAUUCUGCUUGUCUUCCCUUCGUAUAGCUUUGUGGACCAACGAAGACUUUGGUAUUGGAUUGAAGAAAUUCGUUGGAUCUAUUUAUAGUUUUCGCGGUGGCAUCCUCAUAUAAUAUAUAUGUCUGACUUAGAGGAAAGCGUUCCCCUAAGGGACAAACCAAGUUAUGAUUUUGACGAUAUCGAGAGGCAAGGCCGUCCAACAAAAUGGUCCACAGCAGCAGUUAAUGGAAUUCUUGCCCCAAAGGGGCGCACCCUUCAGCUGUGGAACAAUAUAUUCGUAAUUUCAUGUGUGGUCGCGGUCUCCUUGGAUCCUCUCUUCCUUUAUAUUCCAAUCAUCAAUGAAGAAAACAAGUGCCUUGGAACGGACAAAAAGCUGAGGAAUGCAGCUCUUGUUUUACGCUCACUUACGGAUAUCAUUUUCGUUGUGCGUAUUGUACAUCAAAUUCGAACCAAGCUUGAGGACUCUGAGGAACCAGCCGAAGGAAGGGAGUCAAUGGGAUGGAAAUGGAGGCCCUUGUUAUGUGUCCCUCUCAUAAUUGACUUGCUCGCCAUUCUUCCCAUCCCACAGUUGGCAAUAGUUGUUGUGUUUUUCAGAACGAGGGGCUCUCGGUAUUUACAAAAAUUAAACAUUUUGAACGCCUUUCUACUCUUUCAAUAUGUGCCAAAUGUUUACCGACUUCACAUAUCCAGUGAGAAACUUCAAAAGAAGGAAAGAUGGAUUAAAGGUGCAUUCAAUUUUUUUCUAUACAUCCUUGCGAGUCAUGUACUUGGAGCUUUUUGGUACUUUUUUUCUAUUCAGCGAGAGACAGCAUGUUGGCACCAAGCAUGUAAAAAUACGGAAGACUGCAUAGCUUCUCGUUAUUGCAAUGAUAGUACUUCAAGAAAUAUCACAUUCAUAAAUGAAUUUUGCCCUAUAAAUCCAUCAGAUCCUUCGCUAUUUGAUUUUGGAAUGUACCUUGAUGCCAUUCAGUCUGGUAACACAGGACCAGUAAAUUUUCCAAGAAAAUUCUUUUAUUCUUUCUGGUGGGGAAUCAGAAAUCUAAGUAAUUUUGGGACGAGUCUCGAAACGAGUAGCUACGUGUGGGAAAACUGCUUUGCAAUUCUUAUUGCUGUUAUUGGCUUGCUACUCUUUUUAUAUCUCAUAGGAAACUUGCAGACAUAUAUGCAGUGGGCAGCCGCAAAAGCGGAGGAGCAAAAGGAGGACGACUUAAGAAAGAGAAUUAAGAUGAAAGAGGAUAGUAUAGAUGACUGGAUGUUAAAACAUGGUCUCCCUCAGGAUUUGAAGAAAGAAAUCAUGGAUAUCAUUAAAGAAAAUAACGUGGUGGAGAAAAACAUUGAUGCCGAGGUGGAUGUGAAGUAUCUAUUCUCCAUUGAUCUUCCACGGACCACUGAAAGUUCUAUAAAGCACCACGUGGGCAUGAAUGUGCUAAACAAAGUACCAGUGCUUCAAAAUAUGAAAGUAGAAGUGUUGAAAACGAUCUGCAACCAUCUGAAACCACAGAUCUUAUACCCUGAUAAUAUCAACGUUUUUCGAAGGGGAAAAGCAAUUGAUUUCAUGCUCUUCAUCAUAGAAGGCAACAUAUCGAUCCAAGAAAAUGCCUCAGAACCCACUGAGAGUACUCCUGGGAAAGGUGACUAUUUUGGAAAAGAACUUCUGUAUUGGGCAUCACCGGCAAACUCUUUUGACCUUAAAGUUCCAAGCUCAACACAAAAUGUCAGGUGCCAAACAAAAGUAGAAGCUUUUGCUCUCAAGGCCGAGGCGUUGAGAUCAAUAGUCUUGAAAUACAGACGUACCUGGAAUAGGAUUUUAUACAAUUGUGACAUUAAUUAUCCACAAUUGGAGGAGUUGGAGUUGGCACGAAGUCCCCAUGACAAGACUGAACAGACGUAUAUGCAGAUAUGGGAGGAGAGUUUAAGACUACAGAAGUUGAAGGUCUUGAAAGACAACGACAUACUUGAGUGGGUGUCAAGAAAUGGUCUCCCCGAGAACAUCAAGAAAAAAAUAAUGGAAAACAUAACAGAAGUUAACGCGGUGAAGAAAAACAUAGAUGUUGAUGUGGAUGUGGACUUUGUAUUCUCUAUUCUUCCCCAGGACGUAAAAGAAGCGAUAAAGGUCUACGUUGGCAUGGAUGCACUUAAGAAAGUACCCAUGCUUAAAAAUAUGCCUGAAUCCUCGUUGAAAUUCAUCUGCAAAUAUCUGGAGCCAGUGAUCUACAGCAAGAACGAUUACCUUAUUCGAGCACGAAAACCCCUUAACUCCAUGCUUUUCAUUAUAGAAGGGGUAAUUAUAUGGCCCAAUACGGCUAACGAGGCUGUAACAGCGGGUUCCUAUAUGAUCAACCAGUUAUGUCUUGUGAAAGGUGAUCUUUACGGAGAAGAACUUCUGAGCUGGGCAUCACCCGGCAGCCGUCUUUCUGACCUUCCAAUCUCGACCCAAGAUGUCUGUUGUCAGACAAAAGUAGAAGCUCUUGCCCUCAAGGCAGAGAAAAUGCAAAGUACGGUCUCCGAACUACGAGAGCGGUGGACUAAUUACUACAUUGCACCUCCUCAGGAGAAGACCUAUCUGCAGAUACUAAACGAGACAUAUAGGCAGUUGAAACCAACAAAAUUGGACAACGUUGAGGAUGAGGAGUUAAGACAGAAAAUGAAGAUAAUGAUCAAGGAGAGAGAUAUACUUGAAUGGCUGUCAAGAAAUGAUAUCGAUGACGAUUUGAAGACAAAAAUCAUAAUGCACAUGAAGUUGAAUAAAAUUGUGGAUGAAAACAUUAAUGCGGAUGUGAAUGUGGAGUAUCUCUUUAAUAAUAUACCCUUUGGUAUCGCAAUUCCUAUAAAGAGGCAACUCUGCAUUAGCACGCUAAAGAAAGUACCCAUGCUUGAAAAAAUGCCUGAAGACGUGUUUAAAAAUAUUUGCUACGAAGUCAAGCCAGUGACCUACACCCAGGAUAGCUACGUUGUUCGAGCAGGAGAGCCACUUGAUUUGAUGCUCAUAAUUACAGAAGGCACAGUUAUAUGCGCCGGCACGAAGUAUCUUGAGAAAGGACAUUUUUGUGGAGAAGAACUUCUGAGUUGGGCAUCGCCCAACAUCUUAUUUUCUGGUCGUGCUCCCAUGUCAAUCCAUGAUGUCAAAUGUCAAAAAAAAGUAGAAGGCUUUGCUCUCACAGCCGAUAAGUUGAGAAGUUUCGUUUCGCAAUACAGCUUAGAGUGGAUUUCAAAUUUCAACAAUUAUAGCAAUUCACAUCAGUUGGAGGAGCAGACAGACAACAUUGAUAAGAUACUGAAUGAGGUUCAGAUGGGAACUACAAAAUUGGAGGACAUUGAGGAUGAGGAGGUGAGACAGAAGAUAAAGAUAAUGAUCAAGGAGAAAGAGAUACAUGAGUGGGUGUCAAGAAAUGGUCUCGAGGAGGAUUUGAAAACAAAAAUCAUAAUGCACAUAAAACUAAAUAACCUGGUGGAACAAAACAUUGAUGCUAAUGUGGAUGUGGAGUAUCUCACUAAUAACCUACCGUUCGGUGUGGCAAUUUCUAUAAAGAGGCAUCUCUGCAUUAGUACGCUAAAGAAAGUACCCAUGCUUGAAAAAAUGCCUGAGAAUGUGUUCGCAAAUAUUUGCUACGAAUUGAAGCCAGUGACCUACACAGAGGAUAGCUACAUUGUUCGAGCAGGAGAACAACUUGAUUUAAUGCUCAUCAUUGUAGAAGGCAAAAUUCUGCAGACCGACAUGACUUUGGAUACGGGUACAACGGGUUCAUCGAUGAUCACCAAUUAUCUUGAGAAAGGUGAUUUCUGCGGAGAAGACCUCCUGAGUUGGGCAUCACCCAAUAUAUUAUUUUCUGGUGAUGCUCCUGUCUCAACCCAUGAUGUUAGGUGUGAAACAAAAGUAGAAGGCUUUGCCCUCACGGCGGAUAAGUUGAGAAGUUUCAUCUCCCAAUACACCUCAGAGUGGAUUUCAAAUUUCAACAAUUGUAACAAUUUACAGCAGUUGGGGGAGCUGGCAUUUCGCCCCGACAACAUCGAUAAGAUACUGAACGAGUUGGGAGCUACAAAAGUGGACGACAUUGAGGAUGAGAAAUUAAAAAAGAAGAUGAAGACAGUGAUUAAGGAGAAACAUGUACAAGAGUGGCUGUCAAGAAAUUGCCCCCUUGAUGAGGAUUUGAAGACCAAAGUCAUGAUGCACCUAAAAUUAAAUAAAAUUCUGGAUCAAAACAAUGAUGCUGCGGUGGAUGUGGAGUAUAUCUCUAAUAAUCUACCCUUCGGUACAGCAAUUUCUAUAAAGAGGCAUCUCUGCAUUAGUACGCUAAAGAAAGUACCCAUGCUUGAAAAAAUGCCUGAAGAUGUGUUCAGUAAUAUUUGCUACGAGUUGAAGCCAGUGACCUACACAGAGGACAGCUACAUUGUUCGAGCAGGAGAAAAACUUGAUUUGAUGCUCAUCAUUGUAGAAGGCAAAAUUCUGCCCCCGGACGUGAAUUCUGAUAACGGAACAGCGGGUUCACCAAUGAUCACCAAGUAUCUUGAGAAAGGUGAUUUUUGCGGAGAAGAACUUCUGAAUUGGGCAUCGCCCAAUACAUUAUUUUCUGGUCAUGCUCCUAUCUCAACCCAUGACGUCAAAUGUGAAACAAAAGUAGAAGGCUUCGCUCUCACGGUUGAUAAGUUGAGAAGUUUCGUCUCCCAAUACACCUCAGACUGGAUUUCACAUUUCAAUAAUUCUAAGUCGUGAACUCUUGCAGGACAAGACUGAUGAGAUUUGGAAACACAGUUGAAUAAGAAAAUUAUAAGUAAUGAGACGCUUAUGAGGAAUUUGUUUUUCUUUCCCA